CCAAUAGCGUAUAUUAAAGUUGCUGCAGUUAAAAAGCUCGUAGUUGAAUUUCGGGACCAUCAUGUCGGUCGUGCCUCGGUACGUACUGGUAUUGUUGGUUUCUCCCUUCUGACGAACCAUGAUGUCAUUUAUUUGGUGUUGUGGGAAAUCAGGACUGUUACUUUGAAAAAAUUAGAGUGUUUAAAGCAGGCUCACGCUUGAAUACAUUAGCAUGGAAUAAUGAAAUAGGACGUUUGAUUCUAUUUUGUUGGUUUCUAGGAUCGACGUAAUGAUUAAUAGGGAUAGUUGGGGGCAUUAGUAUUCAAUUGUCAGAGGUGAAAUUCUUGGAUUUAUUGAAGACUAACUACUGCGAAAGCAUUUGCCAAGGAUGUUUUCAUUAAUCAAGAACGAAAGUUAGGGGAUCGAAGACGAUCAGAUACCGUCGUAGUCUUAACCAUAAACUAUGCCGACUAGGGAUCGGAUGAUGUUAAUUUUUUAAUGACUCAUUCGGCGCCUUACG
Molecule: unclassified non-coding RNA, 499 nt
Filed under: uncultured Glomeromycotina
Lineage: Eukaryota; Fungi; Glomeromycota
Description: SSU rRNA
Rfam family: Eukaryotic small subunit ribosomal RNA
Source: RNAcentral